RNAcentral lists this ribosomal RNA (253 nucleotides) under uncultured bacterium. Its description in RNAcentral is "partial 16S ribosomal RNA". It matches the Rfam family "Bacterial small subunit ribosomal RNA", at positions 524 to 776 of the family's 1533-position model. The record is from RNAcentral.
UACGAAGGGGGCGAGCGUUGUUCGGAUUUACUGGGCGUAAAGGGCGCGCAGGCGGCUCAUUUUGUCAGGCGUGAAAGCCCCGGGCUUAACCUGGGAACUGCGUUUGAUACGGAUGGGCUAGAGUUCGGGAGAGGAGAGUGGAAUUCCCAGUGUAGAGGUGAAAUUCGUAGAUAUCUGGAGGAAUACCGGUGGCGAAGGCGGCAUCCUGGACCAUUACUGACGCUGAGGCGCGAAAGCUAGGGGAGCAAACGGG